Molecule: small nucleolar RNA, 87 nt
Filed under: Clytia hemisphaerica
Lineage: Eukaryota; Metazoa; Cnidaria; Hydrozoa; Leptothecata; Clytiidae
Description: small nucleolar RNA snR60/Z15/Z230/Z193/J17
Rfam family: Small nucleolar RNA snR60/Z15/Z230/Z193/J17
About the family: The members of this family belong to the C/D class of snoRNAs which contain the C (UGAUGA) and D (CUGA) box motifs. Most of the members of the box C/D family function in directing site-specific 2'-O-methylation of substrate RNAs.
Source: Rfam by way of RNAcentral
AAUUCUGAAGUGAUGAUUGAAAUUAAAGCAUAGUUCAGCAGAAAUUAUUAUGUUGAAAUAUAUUUUCGCCCCUAUCUGAUCAGAAUU